RNAcentral lists this transfer RNA (70 nucleotides) under Beauveria caledonica. RNAcentral describes it as "tRNA-Gly". It matches the Rfam family "tRNA". From Rfam's summary of the family: Transfer RNA (tRNA) molecules are approximately 80 nucleotides in length. Their secondary structure includes four short double-helical elements and three loops (D, anti-codon, and T loops). The record is from RNAcentral. Lineage: Eukaryota; Fungi; Ascomycota; Sordariomycetes; Hypocreales; Cordycipitaceae.
ACAAGCGGGGUUAAAGGUAGACUUUUCGCUUUCCACCCGAAAUGUGUCAGUUCGAUUCUGACUACCCGUA